Molecule: ribosomal RNA, 348 nt
Filed under: uncultured bacterium
Lineage: Bacteria
Description: partial 16S ribosomal RNA
Rfam family: Bacterial small subunit ribosomal RNA
Source: RNAcentral
CCUACGGGAGGCAGCAGUGAGGAAUAUUGGUCAAUGGGCGCGAGCCUGAACCAGCCAAGUAGCGUGAAGGAUGACUGCCCUACGGGUUGUAAACUUCUUUUAUAAAGGAAUAAAGUGAGGCACGUGUGCAUUGUUGUAUGUACGUUAUGAAUAAGGAUCGGCUAACUCCGUGCCAGCAGCCGCGGUAAUACGGAGGAUCCGAGCGUUAUCCGGAUUUAUUGGGUUUACAGGGAGCGUAGAGGGGUUGUGAAGUCAGUUGUGAAAGUUUGCGGCUCAACCGUAAAAUUGCAAUUGAUACUGGCAGCCUUGAGUACAGUUGAGGUCGGCGGAAUUCGUGGUGUAGCGGUG